RNAcentral lists this ribosomal RNA (472 nucleotides) under uncultured bacterium. RNAcentral's name for it is "partial 16S ribosomal RNA". It matches the Rfam family "Bacterial small subunit ribosomal RNA", at positions 28 to 507 of the family's 1533-position model. The record is from RNAcentral.
GACGAACGCUGGCGGCGUGCUUAACACAUGCCAGUCGAACGCUGAAGCUUGGUGCUUGCACUGGGUGGAUGAGUGGCGAACGGGUGAGUAAUACGUGAGUAACCUGCCCUUGACUCUGGGAUAAGCCUGGGAAACUGGGUCUAAUACUGGAUACGACAUGUCACCGCAUGGUGGUGUGUGGAAAGGGUUUUACUGGUUUUGGAUGGGCUCACGGCCUAUCAGCUUGUUGGUGGGGUAAUGGCUCACCAAGGCGACGACGGGUAGCCGGCCUGAGAGGGUGACCGGCCACACUGGGACUGAGACACGGCCCAGACUCCUACGGGAGGCAGCAGUGGGGAAUAUUGCACAAUGGGCGAAAGCCUGAUGCAGCGACGCCGCGUGAGGGAUGACGGCCUUCGGGUUGUAAACCUCUUUCAGCACGGAAGAAGCGAAAGUGACGGUACGUGAAGAAGAAGCGCCGGCUAACUACGUG